Long non-coding RNA from Seriola aureovittata, 709 nucleotides. RefSeq lists it as uncharacterized. Lineage: Eukaryota; Metazoa; Chordata; Actinopteri; Carangiformes; Carangidae. The record is from RefSeq and is a predicted model, not a curated record. The transcript has 3 exons.
GGUUCGACCACACGACUUUUAUCCAGAAUCUGAGCCAGAGGGAGAGGCUGCUGAAGAAGUUCAAACUCUACAGCUGCAGCAGGACGUUUCUGAAUGGUGCACCUGUGGAAACUGUGCAACCAUGCCCACAGAAGCUGAGAACAUCUGCUGCUAGGAGAUACCACAGGUUACCAGACGGCUGUGGGAGAUUGACGAAGAUUUACCAUGUAUGGUAGACCGUCCUGGGUUGGAGCCGCUCUGCCUCAAUGUGUUCUGCCUGCAACAUGUACCGCACUCACUUUGGUCCUUUACGGUUGAGAGGAAUACACCAGUAUGAUUUGCUUCUUUGUAAAAACAUAGUUUCAAUCUAAAUAAAAGAUGUUAGGCAGUCUUGUUUUACUUCAGUGCACAUAAUUUUACAAUGGUAAUAACACACCACAAAUAGAGUAACACACACUCAAAUAAAUUAGUUUAGCUGCUCUUUGAUUUGUAAAGUUCUUCUAUCAGCAGAUAGUGUGCAUAUAAUAUAUGAAUUCAGAGGAGUCAUUUCUUUAGUAACAAUCAAGCAUUUAUUUACAUCAAAUGAGGGACUUAUAAUCAGUGAUAAUAAAAAAACUGUAGGAUUCACUGGAUCCAUAUAAAAAAAUUGUGAGACACAACAUAGAUAUAUGUUUGCAAGACUAAAUGUCCUGUCCAGUUGUUUUAGUCAGUACAGGUAUCUAGCCUAUAG